GGGGCCAAGGACAAAAUGAGUGGGCUAGUGGGUGCUAGGACUUGCUCAGGCCCAGGAGAAGCCUCGGACCUUAAGUACCCCCUGGGCACCAGGCUCAGGGAGCCCCUUACCGAAGCUGGGUUCCAGCAGCUCUUUGGGGACGCAGAGAAGGAGCAGGAGCUACGGACUGAGCCCCGCUGGUCAGGGCUCAGGUUGUGGAGGAGACCGGCCCGUGCUUGUUCUCGGCCGGGGGCGUGGCGCCUGCUGAUGACUCGUUUGCCCCUGCUGCGCUGGCUGCCCCGCUACCGCUGGCGGGCCUGGCUGCUCGGGGAUGCUGUGGCCGGAGUGACCGUGGGAGUCGUGCAUGUACCCCAGGGAAUGGCUUUUGCCCUCCUGACCUCGGUACCUCCGGUGUUCGGACUGUACACUUCUUUCUUUCCCGUUCUCAUCUACAGCUUGCUGGGCACUGGAAGACACCUGUCCACAGGAACUUUCGCUGUACUCAGCCUCAUGACGGGCUCUGCAGUGGAGCGGUUGGUGCCCGAACCCCUCACCCGGAACCUGAGCGGAAUUGAGAAGGAGCAGUUGGACGCUCAGCGGGUUGGGGUGGCCGCGGCAGUGGCCUUUGGGAGUGGGGCGCUGAUGUUGGGGAUGUUCAUGCUGCAGCUCGGCGUUUUGUCCACCUUUUUGUCGGAGCCUGUGGUCAAGGCGCUGACCAGCGGGGCCGCGCUGCACGUGCUUGUGUCCCAGCUUCCAAGCCUUUUAGGGUUGUCUCUUCCGCGUCAGAUCGGCUGCUUCUCUCUCUUCAAGACGCUGGCGGCUGUGCUCACAUCGCUGCCCCGGAGCAGUCCAGCCGAACUGACUAUAUCGGCUAUCAGCCUGGCACUGCUUGUGCCCAUCAAGGAAUUGAACGUGAGAUUCCGAGACAGGCUACCCACCCCGAUUCCAGGGGAAGUCGUCAUGGUGCUUUUGGCCUCCGUGCUCUGCUUCACCUCUUCCCUGGACACAAGAUAUAAUGUUCAGAUAGUGGGGCUGUUGCCUGGAGGAUUUCCCCAACCCCUCCUCCCUAGCCUGGCAGAGCUGCCCAGGAUUCUGGCUGAUUCGAUGCCCAUUGCACUGGUUACUUUUGCUGUGUCCGCCUCCCUGGCCUCCAUGUAUGCAGACAAGUAUAGCUAUACUAUUGACCCCAAUCAGGAGCUCUUGGCCCAUGGUGUCUCCAACCUCAUCUCCUCCCUCUUUUCUUGCUUUCCCAACUCUGCCUCACUGGCCACGACCAGCCUACUAGUGGAUGCUGGUGGGAAUACACAGCUGGCAGGCCUUUUCUCCUGCAUAGUUGUCCUUUCAGUGCUGCUGUGGCUGGGGCCCUUCUUCUACUAUCUGCCAAAGGCUGUCCUGGCUUGUAUCAACAUCUCCAGCAUGCGCCAGAUGUUCUUCCAGAUGCAGGAACUUCCACAGCUAUGGCACAUCAGUCGCGUGGACUUUGCUGUGUGGAUGGUCACAUGGUUAGCUGUAGUGACACUGAAUGUGGACCUGGGUCUGGCCGUGGGUGUGGUCUUCUCCAUGAUGAUGGUGGUCUGCCGUACACAGAGGGUGCAGUGCCUGGAGCUUGGACUGGCUGAGGGGACAGAACUCUACAGGCCACUCAAAGAGAGCCGCAAGCUCCUUCAGGUCCCAGGUCUCUGUAUCUUGAGUUAUCCAACACCACUCUACUUUGGGACUCUUGGGAAGUUUCGCCGCAUCUUGGAGUGGCAUCUGAGGCUUGGAGAAGGAAGCAAGGAGUCACCAAAGCCAGAUGGCCUACCUGACACAGUUGCUGAGCCUGUCAGGGUUGUGAUCCUAGACUUCAGUGGUGUCACCUUUGCAGAUGCUGCUGGGGCCAGGGAAGUGGCACAGCUAGUCAGCCGAUGCAGGGAUGUGGGGGUCCACCUUCUUCUAGCUCAAUGUAAUGCCUCUGUGCUGGAGACACUGGCCCGGGCAGGAGUCCUGGACAGAGUGACCCCACAACAGCUGUUUGUGAGUGUCCAGGAUGCAGCUGCUCAUGCCUUGGACAGACUGGAACUUACUGGCCCUAAGAUUUGCACGGUGUGGAUCUGACCAGGUCACUUGGAAUAUGAAGGUCCCCAAUGAUGUGUAUAUGUGUAUGUAUGUGAAGAGGGCCAUGAUCCUUGAGCCCCUUACUUAAUGUAAUGAAUAAAAUGAAGCUGAGACCCUCUGGGAUCCAUGAAGUGGGUCUGGGUGUCUCAUGCCCCCCAGUGCCCCUCCUUCCUUGCCCACAGCAUCACAGAGAAACAAGUAAAAAUGGCUUUCACCAUGUGUUCACCAGCCCCACCCAACUCCAGAGUCACAAGUUGUCUCUGUGGGGGUGGGCUGGAGCUGGUACAGAGUCCUGGAUCCCGAGCUGGGGGUGGGGAGGCACAGCCUUGGGAUUGCACAUUGGGAGGUUUCUCACCCCCUCAGUCUCAAGGAGGCAAGAGGAGAGUGCUUCCACUUCAGGGUUUUAGAGUCCUCCUGGGCUCUUUGGCACUUGGAAAAAUUACCACCCCCCAUUUCCUGCCCCAUAGGAAUGGGGUGGGGGGAGGACUUGGCACUGGCUGUGGGAGAGGUUAUGGCUCCUCAGGCCCCUGGGCACUCACAGAAAGGAGGGGUGUCACCAGGACAAACCCCUAUUUGGGAUCAGGUUCUGAAGGGGAGAGGUGAAGGGCAAGGUGGUCAGGAAUCUUCAGCGGAGUGCUCACUGGAUGGAGGGGUUGGCUGGACAAUCCUGGCAGGGACAAGGAGACAGGCCCAGCCUGACAGGGGGAAAGCCCAAGUGGCCAUCACUCCGCAGUCAUGCACUGCAGCCGGUGUUUGAAGAAGAGAAGGCGAUGUUUGGCCACCUGACUUUCAUCCAGUGAUCCUGGGUAACGGAACUGGGCAUAAGUCUCUGCCCCAGCAUCCCUUGAAGCCCAUGGCAGCUUCAACUUCGAUGCAUGAUCCACAACGACGUCAGAGCAGGAGCCAACCCGAAGGGAACCAAGCCCAUCCAAGAAGAAUUCUGGGGUUGGAAGGGAGGGGAGUAAAUAAUGAGGGCUUCUGAGCGUGCAGAAGGUCAACCCAUAAGGAAAAACUAAAAUUUAGGGUAUUGAGGGUGCCUAUGAAAACUCAAUUUCCAAGAACUCUGGCAUGUAAAUUAACUCUUCUGGGUCUUGGUUAUACUCUGUGUAAAACAGCUUGAUUUUCUUGUGCUUUGAAAUGGAAAGAGGUUGAAUAAGUACCUCAUGGGCUGCUUGGAGUGCGAUUUGAACCAGGCAGAGCGGCUGGGAGUGGAGUAAAAGGCGGUGACCAUGGAGAAGUUCGGAGCGGACCCAGCGGGUGUGCUAGGUGUAGAAGUUUCAAAAGAAUGCCCGGGGUGGGGGGCGGGAGGAUAGGUUGGGCACUCUGUCUCUCGCCCGGGUGCAGGAAUUGGUGAAUCCUUGCAGAAUUGCUCUAGGGUACCCUGGGUAAUUUAAGGAGUGGGUAGGGAGAAAGCGCCAUGCCCUCCGUGACGGCUUGCGAGGAGCCUAGUGGGGUGUGCGUGUGGGUGUUCUCCCAAGGCCCUGCCGGAAGGGGGCGCCACUCACCCAGAUGUGCUACGCGGCUCAGGCGCGGGUCGAAGCCGACUUCUCGCACCUUAUCGGUGCGCGCUAGAAAGAAGUUAACGACGCCAUCGGUGACCACGCAGCCUGGGAAGCCAACAAGCUCGUGGUGGAAGCCACGCCGUUGCCGGAGGCAGUUCCCGAGGCCUGGGGCGCCCUGCUCCACGCUCAGCAGCUGCCGGUCCAGCGGCGUCCGUUCCAGCACAUCCACAAGCCUCUCCAGCCGCGUGCGCGCUGUGAAGACAAAGUCGUCGUCCACCCACAGCACAUAUUUGGUGGUUACUUGGGACACGGCCAGGUUCCGGCCUGCGAACCAGCCCUGCGGGAGAGGGCCUUGUGCUUGCGAGGCACCCUCUGGAUUCUGAGGCAGGUGGUCCUGGAAUCACUACCCUGGCUGCAGACUGAGGGAACGCCCCCUUCCAAGGUCUUCUUGAGCCUCAGUUCAGCCUUGCUGACUACGCACCUUGCCAAAGGGCAUAAGAUAGUGCUCCACGUGGGGACCGCUAACGCGCUCUGGUUUGUCGCUGUCGUCAGCAAUGACCACGGUGACGGUGGGGUAGAAGCGGCGGAUGCUAGCGAUGAGUGCUCGCAGCCUAUCAUAACGAAGGAAGGUCUUGGUGGCAAUGGUGACCAGAGCGCUGAUGUUGUACUGGGCUGCGAGGGCAUAGGGUUGGAUACAGACAAGAAGAAUGGGGGAAGAGAAGCAGGAAGACAACCCUUCUUAGAGUCACCCUGUCCCAACUUACUCCCCACCAGGGCAGGACCUACUACUUCCUUGCCCACACCAGCCCAACUUGCUUCCCACCAAGGCUGGACUAUAUUUCCCUACCCCCACUAUUCUCACCUCCCUGAGGUAGAGACCCGGGCGGGUACAGCCGGGGAUUGGGGGGAUGUCUUAUGCGGAUGGUGAAGGCAGCCUCAUGUCCUUUGGUGGAGAACCGGACUGGGGAGAAAGGACAUGGGAUUGGGCCCUUAAGGUUGGGACAACAUUCUUUUCCAUCUGGUAAUAUUUUAGUGCCUACUCUUUGUCCUGCCUUUCUAGGCCUUGGUGGACAAGAAUACAAGGUUGUUACCCCCAUGGAACUUCCUAAUGGGUGGGGAGAAAGACAAUGAAAAAGUGUUAGUUAAAAACUAAA
RNA transcript from Sciurus carolinensis (gray squirrel), 4729 nucleotides. It is a transcript of the gene named solute carrier family 26 member 10-like, with no coding region annotated. The transcript has 21 exons. Lineage: Eukaryota; Metazoa; Chordata; Mammalia; Rodentia; Sciuridae. The record is from RefSeq and is a predicted model, not a curated record.